RNAcentral lists this small nuclear RNA (98 nucleotides) under Cervus elaphus hippelaphus. It matches the Rfam family "U2 spliceosomal RNA", at positions 1 to 99 of the family's 192-position model. Rfam says of the family: U2 is a small nuclear RNA (snRNA) component of the spliceosome (involved in pre-mRNA splicing). Lineage: Eukaryota; Metazoa; Chordata; Mammalia; Artiodactyla; Cervidae. The record is from RNAcentral.
AUCGCUUCUCGGCCUUUUGGCUAAGAUCAAGUGUAGUAUCUGUUCUUAUCAGUUUAAUGUCUGAUACGUCCUCUAUCCGAGGACAAUAUAUGAAAUGG